UACAGAGGUCUCAAGCGUUGUUCGGAAUUACUGGGCGUAAAGGGUGCGCAGGCCGCGCGGGCAGUCAAAUGUGUAAUCCAGGGGCUCAACCCCUGAACUGCGCUUGAUACUUCCGCGCUCGAGCUUUGGAGAGGAGUCUGGAAUUCUCGGUGUAGCAGUGAAAUGCGUGGAUAUCGAGAAGAACACUUAGGGCGUAGGCAAGACUCUGGACAAAUGCUGACGCUCGUGCACGAAGGCUAGGGUAGCGAACGGG
Molecule: ribosomal RNA, 253 nt
Filed under: uncultured bacterium
Lineage: Bacteria
Description: partial 16S ribosomal RNA
Rfam family: Bacterial small subunit ribosomal RNA
Source: RNAcentral